Molecule: non-coding RNA, 956 nt
Organism: Lolium perenne
Lineage: Eukaryota; Viridiplantae; Streptophyta; Magnoliopsida; Poales; Poaceae
Source: RefSeq, a predicted model, not a curated record
UCAAAAUGAUUCAAUAUUGAGAAGAUUAUGGGUGAGAGUAAGAAUAACAUAGAUAGAAUGUUUGAAUGAAGAUCGAUUCUGUAUUUAGACAAUGAGAAAAAUGUAUUGCCAAAAAAGAUAUUUAUAUGGGGGAAAUGCCCGUGUAUUCAUAUGGCACCGUUGAUUUGUGUGGGUGGAACCUUUUGGUAGUUCCACACGCACCUUCUAUGUCCAUGUGUGGCUCUGGUGUAAUGCUCUUGUGUACUACUUCAGAGUUCUAGUUGUAUGAUUUAACUCACACCAUGGUAUCUGCAACAGUUGGUUUAUCAGACCAUGUUAUUUUGCAUCCUUGCAAUUUUCUGCCAUAUAUGAGGUGUUCCAUCGAUUGUUCAGUGGUGAUUUUGAUAUGUGAAGUAGCACAGUUUGUGAUUUUGAAUAGGCAUAGAAAGAUUUCGUACGGGUUCUAAAACUCAAUGUCUGGUAAUGUUUCUGAAUUUCAUUUUCUUGUCUGAACAUAUUUUAAAACUCAAUGUCUGGUAAUGUUCUGAAUUUCAUUCACUUGUCUGUGCCUGAUGAGUAAUGUUUUUUAGGAUUCUAACAAGAAAUCGAAGAAUGGAAGAUGUAUGCAAGGACAAAUGUUGAGCAGACAAAGAAGGAAAGUAUUUGUGGUCAUGACUUCCAUGUUUAUCGCCUAAGCAAAGCGUGAUUUCAAAUUUUCCAGCGUGCCUGGCUACUGGUAGACAUGCAUGUGAUGGCCAGAUGAAAGGGAAAAGACCAAAAAUUGAGCUGGAACCUAUCACUACAGCCUUAGCCUUACAGGCUGAUGUCAGGUCAAGGACGACAAAGGCCUAGUAGACCCGUGAUCCAGGGGCAGAGGCAAGAAAAUUGGUUUGGGUGGCAGAUAUCUUCUUGUAUUUUAGUAGACAUGUGGUCUACCUAUUUUUAAUUUGCAAAUACAAUAUGAUUUAUAGUUAAUA